This 505-nucleotide ribosomal RNA is filed under the name uncultured bacterium. RNAcentral describes it as "partial 16S ribosomal RNA". It matches the Rfam family "Bacterial small subunit ribosomal RNA", at positions 28 to 507 of the family's 1533-position model. The record is from RNAcentral.
GACGAACGCUGGCGGCGUGCCUAAUACAUGCAAGUAGAACGCACAGUUUAUACCGUAGCUUGCUACACCAUAGACUGUGAGUUGCGAACGGGUGAGUAACGCGUAGGUAACCUGCCUGGUAGCGGGGGAUAACUAUUGGAAACGAUAGCUAAUACCGCAUAAUAUUAAUUAUUGCAUGAUAAUUAAUUGAAAGGUGCAAUUGCACCACUACCAGAUGGACCUGCGUUGUAUUAGCUAGUAGGUGAGGUAACGGCUCACCUAGGCGACGAUACAUAGCCGACCUGAGAGGGUGAUCGGCCACACUGGGACUGAGACACGGCCCAGACUCCUACGGGAGGCAGCAGUAGGGAAUCUUCGGCAAUGGACGAAAGUCUGACCGAGCAACGCCGCGUGAGUGAAGAAGGUUUUCGGAUCGUAAAGCUCUGUUGUAAGAGAAGAACGGGUGUGAGAGUGGAAAGUUCACACUGUGACGGUAUCUUACCAGAAAGGGACGGCUAACCACGCG